This 548-nucleotide ribosomal RNA is filed under the name uncultured bacterium. RNAcentral describes it as "partial 16S ribosomal RNA". It matches the Rfam family "Bacterial small subunit ribosomal RNA", at positions 355 to 912 of the family's 1533-position model. The record is from RNAcentral.
UGGGGAAUAUUGCACAAUGGGCGAAAGCCUGAUGCAGCGACGCCGCGUGAGGGAUGACGGCCUUCGGGUUGUAAACCUCUUUCAGCAGGGAAGAAGCGAAAGUGACGGUACCUGCAGAAGAAGCGCCGGCUAACUACGUGCCAGCAGCCGCGGUAAUACGUAGGGCGCAAGCGUUGUCCGGAAUUAUUGGGCGUAAAGAGCUCGUAGGCGGUUAGUCGCGUCUGCUGUGAAAACUCGAGGCUCAACCUCGGGCUUGCAGUGGGUACGGGCUGACUAGAGUGCGGUAGGGGUGACUGGAAUUCCUGGUGUAGCGGUGGAAUGCGCAGAUAUCAGGAGGAACACCGAUGGCGAAGGCAGGUCACCGGGCCGCAACUGACGCUGAGGAGCGAAAGCAUGGGGAGCGAACAGGAUUAGAUAGCCCUGGUAGUCCAUGCCGUAAACGUUGGGCACUAGGUGUGGGGUCCAUUCCACGGAUUCCGUGCCGCAGCAAACGCAUUAAGUGCCCCGCCUGGGGAGUACGGCCGCAAGGCUAAAACUCAAAUGAAUUG